This 972-nucleotide long non-coding RNA is filed under the name Pan troglodytes (chimpanzee). RNAcentral describes it as "long non-coding RNA NONPTRT012150". The record is from RNAcentral. Lineage: Eukaryota; Metazoa; Chordata; Mammalia; Primates; Hominidae.
CCAAAGUAUAAAAGAAAAUCUAGCCCCCUCUUCGGGGCCGAGAGAAUUUUGAGCAUUAGCCGUCUCUUGGCCGCUGGCUAAAUAAACGGUCUCUCAAUUCCUCUCAAAGUGUGGCGUUUUCUCUAACUCACUCAAGUACAACAUUUGGAGGCCCCAGUGAGAUAUUAAUGCCACCGGGCAAGAGCCGGUUUUGCUCCAGGCUCCCCCGGAAGGACGGCUGGCUCGGAGGGGGAGCGCCACCUAAGAAUUUUCAGGUCCCCAAAGAGUAACCGUCUUCCGGAGGAGAGCGGAUUGACUACCAUGUGGGUGCCCUAAAAUUCAACAUCUGAGUCCUCAGCUUCUGACCCCGGGGUCAGUCUCCCCAACAGGUACAAGACAUCAUCCUGCCACUUGUUCGAGGAGCCCAUCCCAAUCCAAUUCCUGACCAGACGGGGUCCUGCCAUUCAUUCCAGCCAAGAGACCUAGUGUUUGUUAAAAAGUUCCAGAAAGAAGGACUCACUCCUGCUUAGAAAAGACCUCACACCAUCAUCCUCACAAUGCCAACAGCUCUGAAGCUAAAAGUUGAAGCUCCACCUGGUGAAAUAAUUGGAUAUGUUUAUCAAUACUUUCACCCAUUCUUGCCAAAGUUCAAAAUAAAAAAUGAGAAUAAGGAGGAGGUAAUGAAAAUUAUAGGCCCAUGGUUGGUCUUCAGCUGUCUCGGGGAUCUAAAUUUUAAUUUAUUGACUCUGGAUGAGGAAAUGGUUAUUGGAAAGAUUUCAAAACAGUACUCUGGAUUUGUAAGGGGAAUAUUAACCAAUGGUGAGAAAUUUGGGAUCCAGUUUCCAUUUGAUCUUGAUGUUAAAAUUAAAGCAUUGAUGCUUGGAGCAACUUUCCUCAUUGAAUACAUGUAUUUUGAACUGUGGCCAUAAGAAUUACCCUGAAAGAAUAUGUCAAAGAUUACUGGCGUUUAUUUUUGCCAGCCCUCAACAAAAC